GAUGAACGCUAGCGGCAGGCUUAACACAUGCAAGUCGAGGGGUAGGGAAAGCUUGCUUUUCUGAGACCGGCGCACGGGUGCGUAACGCGUAUGCAAUCUACCUUUCACAGAGGGAUAGCCCAGAGAAAUUUGGAUUAAUACCUCAUAGUAUUAUAGAAUGGCAUCAUUUUAUAAUUAAAGAUUUAUCGGUGAAAGAUGAGCAUGCGUCCCAUUAGCUAGUUGGUAUGGUAACGGCAUACCAAGGCAACGAUGGGUAGGGGUCCUGAGAGGGAGAUCCCCCACACUGGUACUGAGACACGGACCAGACUCCUACGGGAGGCAGCAGUGAGGAAUAUUGGACAAUGGGCGCAAGCCUGAUCCAGCCAUGCCGCGUGCAGGAUGACGGUCCUAUGGAUUGUAAACUGCUUUUAUACAGGAAGAAACACCUCUACGUGUAGAGACUUGACGGUACUGUAAGAAUAAGGAUCGGCUAACUCCGUGCCAGCAGCCGCGGUAAUACGGAGGAUCCAAGCGUUAUCCGGAAUCAUUGGGUUUAAAGGGUCCGUAGGCGGUCAGGUAAGUCAGUGGUGAAAGCCCAUCGCUCAACGGUGGAACGGCCAUUGAUACUGUCUGACUUGAAUUAUUAGGAAGUAACUAGAAUAUGUAGUGUAGCGGUGAAAUGCUUAGAGAUUACAUGGAAUACCAAUUGCGAAGGCAGGUUACUACUAAUUGAUUGACGCUGAUGGACGAAAGCGUGGGUAGCGAACAGGAUUAGAUACCCUGGUAGUCCACGCCGUAAACGAUGGAUACUAGCUGUUGGGAGCAAUCUCAGUGGCUAAGCGAAAGUGAUAAGUAUCCCACCUGGGGAGUACGAACGCAAGUUUGAAACUCAAAGGAAUUGACGGGGGCCCGCACAAGCGGUGGAGCAUGUGGUUUAAUUCGAUGAUACGCGAGGAACCUUACCAAGGCUUAAAUGUAGAUUGACCGGUUGGAAACAG
Molecule: ribosomal RNA, 977 nt
Filed under: uncultured bacterium
Lineage: Bacteria
Description: bacterial SSU rRNA
Rfam family: Bacterial small subunit ribosomal RNA
Source: RNAcentral